CGCGAAUAGCUCAUUACAACAGCUAACAAAUCUACUUGAUCUUGACACAAUCCUACUUGGAUAACUGUGGUAAUUCUAGAGCUAAUACAUGCAUUAAAGCUCUGACCUUCGGGGAAGAGUGCAUUUAUUAGAACAAAACCAAGCGGCUUCGGCUGUUUUCGGUUGACUCAUAGUAACUGAGCUGAUCGCAUGGUCUUGCACCGGCGACGUGUCCUUCGAGUAUCUGCCGUAUCAACUUUCGAUGGUAGUGUAUCUGACUACCAUGGUGAUCACGCGUAACGGAGAAUAAGGGUUCGACUCCGGAGAGUUCGCCUGAGAAAUCGCGAACACAUCUAAGGAAGGCAGCAGGCGCGAAAAUUACCCACUCUCAGCACGAGGAGGUAGUGACGAAAAAUAACGAGACAGUCCUCUUCGAGGUCUGUCAUCGGAAUGGGUACAAUUUAAAUCCUUUAACGAGGAUCUAUUGGAGGGCAAGUCUGGUGCCAGCAGCCGCGGUAAUUCCAGCU
RNAcentral lists this ribosomal RNA (506 nucleotides) under Eucephalobus striatus. RNAcentral describes it as "SSU rRNA". It matches the Rfam family "Eukaryotic small subunit ribosomal RNA", at positions 88 to 590 of the family's 1831-position model. Lineage: Eukaryota; Metazoa; Nematoda; Chromadorea; Rhabditida; Cephalobidae. The record is from RNAcentral.